AAUCCACUUUGAUCACCCUCCAUACAAUGGACAGCAGGAGAUGCAAAUGCCAGUGGUGUGGGAUGAAGAUAGCAGCUCCCAUUGGAGCACAAACAGCUACCUGUCCGAGGUGCCAAUCUGUGACACAACUCCAACCUGCAAGAAACCAUGGCUUUGCUAAUUUUCCCACUGCCAAUAACAAUAUGAGCCCAGCUUUUCCAUCAAGGCCAGGAAGGAUGUGUGCAAAUGCUAAUAAUUUUCAGCCUCAACAAUUCAACCGCCCUAUGUCACCACAGAUCAAUAAUAUCCGACCUCCUGCAGUACAUGGACGAAAAAGAGCGGUUCUGUGCGGAAUCACUUACCGUGGCCAUCCAAAGAGUCUGAAGGGAAGCAUUAAUGAUGUUUUAUCCAUGAGAUAUUUUCUGGUUGAGAAGUUGGGAUUCCCAAAUGCAUCAGUACUUGUCCUUACGGAGGA
Molecule: unclassified non-coding RNA, 454 nt
Filed under: Hevea brasiliensis (rubber tree)
Lineage: Eukaryota; Viridiplantae; Streptophyta; Magnoliopsida; Malpighiales; Euphorbiaceae
Source: RNAcentral